AGGUCUAUGACUUUCUAUAGAUCAAAGCCACCAAUAUCUUCCAGGGUAACAACAUGGACACAAACAGAGACAUCUCAGGGAAGGCGCCCACGGGUGACACAGGCAAGAUGGACUCCAAAGCUGCUGGCAUGAACCCCUAUGUGGGUUUGGUGAGCAGCCUGCGCGCUGCCUGGCUUACGGGGAAGACGCGCGCCGCUGAGCACCGGGUCUCCCAGCUGGAGGCGCUGCGCCGCUUCCUGGAUGAGAAGAAACAGCCCAUCCUGGAUGCCAUGGCCUCGGACCUGCGCAAGCCCUCCUUCGAGGUGGAGCUCUCUGAGAUUAUCAUGGUCAAGAACGAGGUCAACUACGCGCUCAACAACCUGUCCAGCUGGAUGAAGGACAAGGGUGUGGACAAGAACCUGGUGACUCAGCUGGACACGGCCUUCAUCCGGAAGGAGCCCUAUGGAGUGGUGCUGAUCAUUGGGCCCUGGAACUACCCCUUGCAGCUCAUUCUGGUGCCCCUGGUUGGGGCCAUUGCGGCCGGGAACUGUGUGAUUAUCAAACCAUCCGAGAUCUGCGGCAGCACUGAGAAGCUCCUGGCUGAGACGCUGCCCAGCUACCUGGACAAGGACUGCUUUGCUGUGGUGACCGGGGGCCCUGCAGAGAUGACUCAGCUGCUGGAAAACAAGUUUGACUACAUCUUCUUCACGGGCAGCCCCCAAGUGGGCAAGAUAGUGAUGGCAGCUGCGGCCAAGCACCUGACGCCGCUGACGCUGGAGCUGGGGGGCAAGAACCCCUGCUACGUGGCCGACGAGAGCGACCUGCAGAACGUGGCCAACCGGCUGGUCUGGGGGCGCUGCUUCAACGCGGGGCAGACCUGCAUCGCGCCCGACUACGUGCUGUGCAGCGCAGAGACGCAGGAGAAGCUGCUGCCCGCCCUGCGCCAUGCCAUCACCCAGUUCUUCGGCCCUGAGCCCCGGGAGUCGCCUGACUUCGCCCGCAUCAUCAGUGACAAGCAGUUCCAGCGCAUCCGGGCCCUGCUGGGCAGCGGGCGUGUGGCCAUCGGGGGGCAGACGGACGAGGGGGAGCGCUACAUCGCCCCCACGGUGCUGGUGGAUGUGCAGCCGUCAGACCCUGCCAUGCAGGAGGAGAUCUUCGGGCCUGUCCUGCCCAUCGUCACCGUGCCCAACGUGGACGAAGCCAUCGCCUUCAUCAACCGCCGGGAGCGGCCACUGGCCGUGUACGUCUUCGCCUCCGACAGCAAGCUGGUGCGUCGGGUGCUGGAGCGGACGAGCAGUGGCGGUUUUGGUGCCAACGACACCAUAAUGCAGAUGACGCUAAUCUCGCUGCCCUUCGGUGGGAUUGGGAACAGCGGGCUGGGCUCGUACCACGGCAAGUUCAGCUUCGACACCUUCUCUCACCACCGCGCCUGCCUCCUGCGCAGCCUGGGCCUGGAGACCGUGAACGCCCUGCGCUACCCACCCUACAGCGAGCGCAAAAUGGGGCUGGUGCUCUCCACCUUCAGGAUCAAGCGCACGGGCACCUGCAUCUUGCUGUGAUGGGAGGGUCGGCCCAGCCCGGCCACCCAGCAUCACACAACCCAUGUGUUGCCUGACUGCCAUGGGGGGGAGGAGCAGCUGGCUUGAGCCCCUCAGCUGACCUAGGAAUUCUGACAUCCCCCCCCUUCCACAGAUUAAAGACACUCUCCAGCCUUCCUCUUUCCCCCACUGACGAUGGAAGAAAAUGAUCUGGAAUAUUUAAGCACUGGCUUGGCCUUGUCAGCACUGGUUCUCUACUCUGCUGACCCUGUCCGCCAGAUCUCCCUUGACUCUACCUCCAGAACUAGACCUGAUCUCACAAGAGCAGGGUUGCCUGCUGCAUCCCAACGUGGCGGCUUUUCAUCAUGUGCUAUGGACACUCCAUGGUUGACUCCGCAGGAAGCCGACUGUUCGAGAACGUGCAAAACAUUCUCUUAAAUAGCAGAAAGCCUUGUGCCUAGAUACAUUUACCUGUUAACGUGGAAGCGGUUCUCCUCGUGGUCUCAGAAUAAGAACGUGUUCUGGACUGUUUGUUCCGCCUGAAACAACAAGUCCUGGCUGUUAGUUCCAUCAGAGCUCACUAGCAGCUUUCUCUGCUUUCCAGCCUCAAAGUGCAGGUCGCACAGGAUUUUCCAAUUGCAUGUAAGUUAGGUACUUAACGGAUCUGGAUAGACUCUCCGCAGGUGGCAGAUUUAAUCCUUGGAAUUUCAAUCUACUGUUAUCAGGGUCGAGGGUCCAACCUUUGAACGAAUGGCUACCUGAUCUUUACUUCAUCUUUCCACGAAAGGGGUGUUUGGGAUAGGAAUUACUCUGUGAGAAGAGUGGAGGAGUAUGAGCCUUGGUAGCUGACCCUCCUUACCGUACCAUUUAGGCUGAGAGGAGAGUCCUAACUAAGGGCAGGACAGGAGCAGCGUCUACAAAACCAGGGGGCUGGUAGCAGAAAGAGGCUGCAGGGAGGAGAGCUGCAGUCGCUGUCCCUGGGGUAAGGGAGAGAAAGGGGCAUUGGCCCCAAGAGGAAGGGUCUGUCUAGUAGACCAGAAGGACAUAGGGGUUUAGCUAGGAUGGACAAUGCAAGCCUGGGAUAGGCAAGGUAGGGAGUAGUCUAGGGAUGAGGCAGGAAGGUUUGGGGUAGUUGCUGGAGAUAGGACCCCUGGACUGGAACCCAGAAUAGAGAGUGGGCCUGGGUUCCCCUACAGCCCCUGAAAGAGUGGCAUGAUCUGGGCAGUGAUCCUGAAGACCGUCUGGGAAGGUUCAUCCCAGUCACUGAGGGGGUGUGGCUCAGCCAGGAGUGUGCCUGGGAUGCUGUGGAGGACUUUGUAGAACCUCGGAAAGGGAGGACCAUUGUGUACUUGGCUGGAGGGCUAAGCCCUGAAGACGAGGCACUGCAGCUCCUGAGGAGCAAGAGAGGGGCCCCAGAGCAAGACAGGCCAAGGAACAGCAAGAAGAGGGUGUCUGGCUGAAAGAGCUAAGCCCCAGAGGUGACUGGCAAACCCAAUGACAGCAGCAGAACUGGAUGCAGGAUUCCAGCAGCAGUCACCCCAGUGCCGAAUAUACAGGUAAAAUCAUCUCUCUCUCUCCUACUCCAGAUUCCUGUUUAUGCAUCCCAGAAUCCCAUUAGCCCUUUUGGCUGCAGCCUUGCACUGGGAUCUCAUGUUCAGCUGAUUAUCCAUCACAACCCCCAAGUCUUUCACAGAGUCACUGCUUUCCAGGACAGAGUCCUCCAUCCUGCAGCUGCUUCAUUAUCUUGUCCAGGAUUGAUGUCAGACUGACAGGCCUAUAAUUACCCAGGUUAUCCAGUUUAAUUAUUGGCACAACAUUCACUUUCUUCCAGUCUUCCGGGGCAUCCCCAAUUUUCUGAGAUGUAUUCAACAUCAUUAAUGGUCCAGCAGUUCCUCAGUCCACUCUUUUAAAACUCUUGGAUGGAAGUUAUCCAGGCCUGCUGAUUUAAAAAUGUCUAAUUGUGGUAGCUGCUGUUUAAAAUCCUGCUGAGAUACUAGUUGAAUGGAAAGAGUCGUCAUCAUAUUUUACAACUACAUCAUACAGCUUUUUCCCAAAUACAGAACUGAAAUAUUUACAGAACACUUUUGUUAUUUCUGGCAUUAUUAUUGAUCAUUCUAUUUCCAUCUAGUAAUGGACUGAUAACAUGUUAUGAUUCUUUUUGUUUCUA
Gopherus flavomarginatus (Mexican gopher tortoise) is the source of this 3684-nucleotide RNA transcript. It is a transcript of the gene named aldehyde dehydrogenase family 3 member B1-like, with no coding region annotated. The transcript is spliced from 12 exons. NCBI's taxonomy places the organism in Eukaryota, Metazoa, Chordata, Testudines, Testudinidae. The record is from RefSeq and is a predicted model, not a curated record.